This 662-nucleotide ribosomal RNA is filed under the name Bacillus subtilis. RNAcentral describes it as "bacterial SSU rRNA". It matches the Rfam family "Bacterial small subunit ribosomal RNA", at positions 38 to 683 of the family's 1533-position model. Lineage: Bacteria; Bacillati; Bacillota; Bacilli; Caryophanales; Bacillaceae. The record is from RNAcentral.
UGCGGCGUGCCUAUACAUGCAAGUCGAGCGGACAGAUGGGAGCUUGCUCCCUGAUGUUAGCGGCGGACGGGUGAGUAACACGUGGGUAACCUGCCUGUAAGACUGGGAUAACUCCGGGAAACCGGGGCUAAUACCGGAUGCUUGUUUGAACCGCAUGGUUCAAACAUAAAAGGUGGCUUCGGCUACCACUUACAGAUGGACCCGCGGCGCAUUAGCUAGUUGGUGAGGUAACGGCUCACCAAGGCAACGAUGCGUAGCCGACCUGAGAGGGUGAUCGGCCACACUGGGACUGAGACACGGCCCAGACUCCUACGGGAGGCAGCAGUAGGGAAUCUUCCGCAAUGGACGAAAGUCUGACGGAGCAACGCCGCGUGAGUGAUGAAGGUUUUCGGAUCGUAAAGCUCUGUUGUUAGGGAAGAACAAGUACCGUUCGAAUAGGGCGGUACCUUGACGGUACCUAACCAGAAAGCCACGGCUAACUACGUGCCAGCAGCCGCGGUAAUACGUAGGUGGCAAGCGUUGUCCGGAAUUAUUGGGCGUAAAGGGCUCGCAGGCGGUUUCUUAAGUCUGAUGUGAAAGCCCCCGGCUCAACCGGGGAGGGUCAUUGGAAACUGGGGAACUUGAGUGCAGAAGAGGAGAGUGGAAUUCCACGUGUAGCGGUG